RNAcentral lists this ribosomal RNA (451 nucleotides) under uncultured bacterium. RNAcentral's name for it is "bacterial SSU rRNA". It matches the Rfam family "Bacterial small subunit ribosomal RNA", at positions 328 to 794 of the family's 1533-position model. The record is from RNAcentral.
GAGCCAGACUCCUACGGGAGGCAGCAGUGGGGAAUAUUGCACAAUGGGGGGAACCCUGAUGCAGCAAUGCCGCGUGAAGGAUGAAGGUUUUCGGAUUGUAAACUUCUUUUGUACGGGACGAAGAAAGUGACGGUACCGUAAGAAUAAGCCGCGGCUAACUACGUGCCAGCAGCCGCGGUAAUACGUAGGUGGCAAGCGUUAUCCGGAUUUAUUGGGUUUAAAGGGUGCGUAGGCGGACGCUUAAGUCAGCGGUAAAAUUGCGGGGCUCAACCUCGUCGAGCCGUUGAAACUGGGUGCCUUGAGUGGGCGAGAAGUACGCGGAAUGCGUGGUGUAGCGGUGAAAUGCAUAGAUAUCACGCAGAACUCCGAUUGCGAAGGCAGCGUACCGGCGCCCAACUGACGCUGAAGCACGAAGGCGUGGGUAUCGAACAGGAUCAGAUACCCGUGUACA